GGCGAACGCUGGCGGCGUGCUUAACACAUGCAAGUCGAACGGAGUGGCGAACGGGUGAGUAACACGUGGGUGACCUGCCCUGCACUUCGGGAUAAGCAUGGGAAACUGGGUCUAAUACCGGAUAGUGUGGGAUGGGCCCGCGGCCUAUCAGCGGGUUGGUGGGGUAAUGGCCUACCAAGGCGGCGACGGGUAGCCGGCCUGAGAGGGUGGACGGCCACAUUGGGACUGUGACACGGCCCAGACUGCUACGGGAGGCAGCAGUGGGGAAUAGUGCACAAUGAGCGGAAGCCUGAUGCAGCGACGCCGCGUGGGGGAUGACGGCCUUCGGGUUGUAAACUCCUUUCACCAUCGACGCGGUAGAUGGAGAAGAAGCACCGGCUAACUACGUGCCAGCAGCCGCGGUAAUAC
This 408-nucleotide ribosomal RNA is filed under the name uncultured bacterium. RNAcentral's name for it is "partial 16S ribosomal RNA". It matches the Rfam family "Bacterial small subunit ribosomal RNA", at positions 28 to 526 of the family's 1533-position model. The record is from RNAcentral.